Molecule: ribosomal RNA, 1467 nt
Filed under: Escherichia coli
Lineage: Bacteria; Pseudomonadati; Pseudomonadota; Gammaproteobacteria; Enterobacterales; Enterobacteriaceae
Description: partial 23S ribosomal RNA
Rfam family: Bacterial large subunit ribosomal RNA
Source: RNAcentral
GGGACACGUGGUAUCCUGUCUGAAUAUGGGGGGACCAUCCUCCAAGGCUAAAUACUCCUGACUGACCGAUAGUGAACCAGUACCGUGAGGGAAAGGCGAAAAGAACCCCGGCGAGGGGAGUGAAAAAGAACCUGAAACCGUGUACGUACAAGCAGUGGGAGCACAGAGCAAUCUGUGUGACUGCGUACCUUUUGUAUAAUGGGUCAGCGACUUAUAUUCUGUAGCAAGGUUAACCGAAUAGGGGAGCCGAAGGGAAACCGAGUCUUAACUGGGCGUUAAGUUGCAGGGUAUAGACCCGAAACCCGGUGAUCUAGCCAUGGGCAGGUUGAAGGUUGGGUAACACUAACUGGAGGACCGAACCGACUAAUGUUGAAAAAUUAGCGGAUGACUUGUGGCUGGGGGUGAAAGGCCAAUCAAACCGGGAGAUAGCUGGUUCUCCCCGAAAGCUAUUUAGGUAGCGCCUCGUGAAUUCAUCUCCGGGGGUAGAGCACUGUUUCGGCAAGGGGGUCAUCCCGACUUACCAACCCGAUGCAAACUGCGAAUACCGGAGAAUGUUAUCACGGGAGACACACGGCGGGUGCUAACGUCCGUCGUGAAGAGGGAAACAACCCAGACCGCCAGCUAAGGUCCCAAAGUCAUGGUUAAGUGGGAAACGAUGUGGGAAGGCCCAGACAGCCAGGAUGUUGGCUUAGAAGCAGCCAUCAUUUAAAGAAAGCGUAAUAGCUCACUGGUCGAGUCGGCCUGCGCGGAAGAUGUAACGGGGCUAAACCAUGCACCGAAGCUGCGGCAGCGACGCUUAUGCGUUGUUGGGUAGGGGAGCGUUCUGUAAGCCUGUGAAGGUGUACUGUGAGGUAUGCUGGAGGUAUCAGAAGUGCGAAUGCUGACAUAAGUAACGAUAAAGCGGGUGAAAAGCCCGCUCGCCGGAAGACCAAGGGUUCCUGUCCAACGUUAAUCGGGGCAGGGUGAGUCGACCCCUAAGGCGAGGCCGAAAGGCGUAGUCGAUGGGAAACAGGUUAAUAUUCCUGUACUUGGUGUUACUGCGAAGGGGGGACGGAGAAGGCUAUGUUGGCCGGGCGACGGUUGUCCCGGUUUAAGCGUGUAGGCUGGUUUUCCAGGCAAAUCCGGAAAAUCAAGGCUGAGGCGUGAUGACGAGGCACUACGGUGCUGAAGCAACAAAUGCCCUGCUUCCAGGAAAAGCCUCUAAGCAUCAGGUAACAUCAAAUCGUACCCCAAACCGACACAGGUGGUCAGGUAGAGAAUACCAAGGCGCUUGAGAGAACUCGGGUGAAGGAACUAGGCAAAAUGGUGCCGUAACUUCGGGAGAAGGCACGCUGAUAUGUAGGUGAAGUCCCUCGCGGAUGGAGCUGAAAUCAGUCGAAGAUACCAGCUGGCUGCAACUGUUUAUUAAAAACACAGCACUGUGCAAACACGAAAGUGGACGUAUACGGUGUGACGCCUGCCCGGUGC